This 484-nucleotide ribosomal RNA is filed under the name uncultured bacterium. Its description in RNAcentral is "partial 16S ribosomal RNA". It matches the Rfam family "Bacterial small subunit ribosomal RNA", at positions 30 to 507 of the family's 1533-position model. The record is from RNAcentral.
AUUGAACGCUGGCGGAAUGCUUUACACAUGCAAGUCGAGCGGCAGCACGGGGGCAACCCUGGUGGCGAGCGGCGAACGGGUGAGUAACACAUCGGAACAUGCCCAGUCGUGGGGGAUAACACUUCGAAAGAAGUGCUAAUACCGCAUACGUCCUGAGGGCGAAAGCGGGGGAUCGCAAGACCUCGCGCGAUUGGAGUGGCCGAUGUCAGAUUAGCUAGUUGGUGGGGUAAAGGCCUACCAAGGCAACGAUCUGUAGCUGGUCUGAGAGGAUGAUCAGCCACACUGGGACUGAGACACGGCCCAGACUCCUACGGGAGGCAGCAGUGGGGAAUUUUGGACAAUGGGGGCAACCCUGAUCCAGCCAUUCCGCGUGAGUGAAGAAGGCCUUCGGGUUGUAAAGCUCUUUCGGCAGGAACGAAACGGUGAGCUCUAACAUAGCUUGCUAAUGACGGUACCUGAAAAAGAAGCACCGGCUAACUACGUG